GACAGAGGGGGCAAGCGUUGCUCGGAAUCACUGGGCGUAAAGGGCGCGUAGGUGGUGCUGUAAGUCAGGUGUGAAAUCUCGGGGCUCAACCCCGAAACUGCACUUGAUACUGCAGUGCUCGAGGACUGGAGAGGAGAUUGGAAUUCAUGGUGUAGCAGUGAAAUGCGUAGAUAUCAUGAGGAAGACCAGUGGCGAAGGCGGAUCUCUGGACAGUUCCUGACACUGAGGCACGAAGGCCAGGGGAGCAAACGGG
Molecule: ribosomal RNA, 253 nt
Filed under: uncultured bacterium
Lineage: Bacteria
Description: partial 16S ribosomal RNA
Rfam family: Bacterial small subunit ribosomal RNA
Source: RNAcentral